RNAcentral lists this unclassified non-coding RNA (285 nucleotides) under Hevea brasiliensis (rubber tree). Lineage: Eukaryota; Viridiplantae; Streptophyta; Magnoliopsida; Malpighiales; Euphorbiaceae. The record is from RNAcentral.
AGCCAUACCAAAAUCAGCAAUCUUAGGAACCCACUUAUCAUCGAGUAAAAUAUUGCUGGCCUUGAUGUCACGGUGGAUGAUGCAAUUGUGUGAGUCUUCGUGAAGGUAAAGCAAUCCCCGUGCAAUACCAGUUAUUAUAUCAUACCUCCGCUUCCAAUCAAGCAGCUCUCUCCUAUUGGGUUUGAAGAGAAACUUGUCAAGACUCUCGUUAGCGACAUACUCAUAAACCAAUAGCUUUUGCGUUCCAUGUGCACAGUAUCCUAACAAAUUUACAACAUUCCGGUG